Molecule: ribosomal RNA, 450 nt
Filed under: uncultured bacterium
Lineage: Bacteria
Description: bacterial SSU rRNA
Rfam family: Bacterial small subunit ribosomal RNA
Source: RNAcentral
CCACCAGACUCCUACGGGAGGCAGCAGUGGGGAAUAUUGCACAAUGGGGGAAACCCUGAUGCAGCGACGCCGCGUGAGUGAAGAAGUAAUUCGUUAUGUAAAGCUCUAUCAGCAGGGAAGAAAAUGACGGUACCUGAGUAAGAAGCCCCGGCUAACUACGUGCCAGCAGCCGCGGUAAUACGUAGGGGGCAAGCGUUAUCCGGAUUCACUGGGUGUAAAGGGAGCGUAGACGGCGGCGCAAGUCUGAAGUGAAAGCCCGGGGCCCAACCCCGGGACUGCUCUGGAAACUGCGGCGCUGGAGUACGGGAGGGGCAGGCGGAAUUCCUGGUGUAGCGGUGAAAUGCGUAGAUAUCAGGAGGAACACCGGCGGCGAAGGCGGCCUGCUGGACCGUGACUGACGUUGAGGCUCGAGAGCGUGGGGAGCAAACAGGAUUAGAUACCCCCGUAGUA